Molecule: non-coding RNA, 694 nt
Organism: Arachis ipaensis
Lineage: Eukaryota; Viridiplantae; Streptophyta; Magnoliopsida; Fabales; Fabaceae
Source: RefSeq, a predicted model, not a curated record
UCUAAUUCUCAUUUUCCGUUGAAAUGCAAAGUUUGAAUCGCUGCCACUGGGAUCUUCUCUCUGACGAUCUCCUCUGACUGAUCUCCUCCGGCGACGACCUCCUCUGACCGAUUUCUUCCGACGACGACCUCCUCCAACGACGACCUCAUUUGGCGACGUUUUUCUCAGCGGCAAUCUUCUCUGGUGACCUCUCCUCCAACGACAAUCUCCUCCUAUGACGGUCUCCUCCUGCGACGGUCUCCUCAAGCGACAUCUCCUACUGCAAUGAUCUCCUCCGAUGGCAUUCUCCUACGCUGGCAAUCUCAUCCAUCGAGCUAAUGUGCUGUGAGAUUUUCCUCCCACAAGCUCGCGAGAAUACAUGAUAGAUUUUGCGAAAUGGAAACUACAACUACUAAAACUGCAGGAGCUAGGGUUUCUGAGGAAGGGAUCGUUGAAACAUUUCAUAAUGAUGAUGAUGAAGUGCUCGAUGAUGCGGAGAAUGGAGUUGCGGAUGGCCACUUAAAAAUGUUGGGAGGAUAUCUGGAGUUCUUCAUGGAACCUCCUGUUGCUGAUCUGUACCAGUGUAAAGAGAGAACUUGAUGACUUAAUUCAAAGAAAAGUAAGUACAUAUUAAUUUCAUGCUGCUAAGAGCUUUUCUGUGAUAACUAACAAUCUCUUCUCCUCAUUGACCUUACUUUGUUUAAUUCCAGGUUUU